CGAUCUAGCUGCUAACUGACAAUAGCGGUGCACUUUUUUCCUGGUGAAUAUUUGUUUGGUGGCUCAUUCAACAAGCUGCAGGACAAGACGUGUGUUCAUGUUUGUAAGUUAUCAUCAAGUUUUGAUGAUGUGGACACAGGCUGUUGUUUCAUUCACUCCCAUGUUUAAAGGAGGAAAGUACCAUGCACCAGUGAUAUGAUCCGAACCAUGAGUUUUGUGAUCCGUUGCACCCCUAUGAGAUGGUAAUUGCUACCUGUGCAUUACAUUUGAUGCACAGCAUCAUUUGGAUACAUCUGCAAAAAUCAGGGGUAUAAUUAACCUUAAUUUUUAAGUGUUCUUCAUAUUUAUUCAGUAAUAUUAACCUUGGGUAAAGAAAUUACUAUCUUUUUAUUUCCUGGCAUUGCCUCUUACACAUUCCAUCUUUCCUUGUCUACCAGUACAAUAACAAUGAAGAUGAUUGAAGAAAUACUUGAGAUGACAUGAGUAAUGCUUUCAAUAGGGAAGAUGAAAAAAAUAAAGUGGACAAUGAAGACUUUGAGAAGUACAUUUAAGAGGUAUUUACAUAUUACACCUAUUACGGCAGUACAAUGUCAGCAUUUUUUGCUUUUAUGAACUCACAAAAAAUAUUUACUUGCUUGAUCAUUCAUAUCCACAUUACUAAUAAUGUUUAUUAGAAAUCUAAAAUUGUGUAAAUGCAGUUGUAUGCAAAAGUUUGGGCACCUCUUGUGUGAACACUCAGCAACCAUGGGUUCCUCUGAGCAGCUGUGUAAGACUGUGAAAAUGGAAGUUAUCGAUGCCCACAAUGCAGGGGAAGGCUACAAGAAGAUAGCAAAGCGUUGUCAGCUUGUAUUUUCCACAGUACAAAAUGUAGAUAAGAGAUGGCAGUUUAGGUGAACUGUCAAGAUGAGAUCUGGAAGACCAAGAAAACUCAAAACCCCCAUUUGACAGCAAAAAACCUGGAGGAAGAUUUAGUAGACUCAGGAGUGGUGGUGCACUGUUCCACUGUGCAGUGAUGCUUGCACAAACAAGACCUUCAAGGAAGAGUCAGCAGAAAAAAACAUCCACAAAAGCCUGAUACAUUUUGGAAACAAGUGGUGUGGACUGAUGAAGUUAAAAUAGAACUCUGUGGCCACAAUAAGCAAAGUUAUAUUCAGAAAAAAGGAGUAGCAUUUCAUGAAAAGAACACCUUGCAAACUGUUAAGCGUGGGGGUGGAUUUACUAUGCUUUUGCAAUGUUUCUUUGCUUGCUUUGUGCAGUGUUUCCUGUGCCACUGCACAGGUGAAAGGAAAAAUGGAUUCCACUAAAUACCAGCAAAUUCUGAAACAUCACAUUGUUUGUAAAAAAAAAAAAAAAGCUGAAGCUGAAAAGAGGAUGGCUUCUACAACAGGGUAAUGAUCCUAAACAUACCCUCGAAAUCCACCAUGGACAAACUGCAGGGACGCAAGCAGAAGGUUUUGGAACGGCCCUCACAGUCCCCUGACUUAAACACAGUUGAAAAUCUUUGAGUGGAUCCAUGAGAGCUGUGCAUGCAAGACAGCCCAAGAAUAUUGCAGAACUAGAAGCCAAAAGGAAAACGGAAGAAAAUCCCAAAUACAAGCAUUUAAAGACUUUUAGCUGGCUACAAAAAGAUUUGGAGGCUGUGAUAUCUGUUGGGGGGGUGUUACUAUGUAUUACAUAAGUAUUAUGUUGGUGCCCAAACACAUGCCACAGUGAUGUUUUUGUUUUUUUGUUGUUUUUUUUUUUUUCAAUUUAUGAUAUAAAAAGUAACCAUGAAUUUAUGUUUUUUAAUAAGACAUUUUGCAUAUAAAUGAACUUAAUGGACAAUAACAAACAUAUCAAAAUGGAUUAUGCCAAAAUAGCAGCCUUGUACCAACAUUCAGCAUAGGUAGUAGGAAAAUAAUUAUAAUUGCACAAAAAAGGGGAACUGGGACUUUUUAUUUUUUAUGUUAGCAUAAUCCGCUUUUUGUCUGUUUAUGUGAUAAAAAGUGUGAUUAUGAGACCUGUUUUGCCAUGAUAUGGAAGAGCAUGGACAGAUACAAAUACAGUAUUCUGUAUUACCAAUACAGGAAGGCACAAAGAAACGAAUAAGGAUAUUUCAACACCGUUAGGACUCAUGUCAUGCCUGGAUAAUUAUAUAACCCAAGACUCUACUACUACUACUUAGUUCAACACCUAAGUACAUACUCGGGUAGCUACUCUUUGUUCUGAGUUUGCAGCUCUGUAGGAUAUGAUGACAUUAUUUUCCAUUUUGUGAUAAUCCAAGGCAAGCAUUUCUCAAAGAUUACAUUUGCUAAAAUAAAAGACAAUAAGCUGAACUGAUAUCCCUGCUUCAUUCUGCUGUGCUCUCUCUGUCUCUCUCGGGCAAGUGAAGCUAGAGCAGAUACUGGUGACAAGCCCUUUUAUCCUGGUGCACCUUUGGAUACUCUUCUAGUGAAGAGUAUCAAAAGUUAUGUGACAAUGUAGUUCUUGGAAAAGAUGACUUGACGCUAAUUUGGAAUUGUGAUGGCACACCAGUGUUCAAAAGUUCUAAAUGCACCAGAAGUGAGGAAAAACAUUUUAAUGUAACCAACUAAUGUAAACCAACCAUUUUUACAUUACUAAUGCCAUUUGUUAAAGAAGCCUCAUUAUUAGAGACCGGAGGUAUCGACUGGUGAGACAUACAAAGAAACUGUCAUGUUUCUAAAGUGUUUAAGUGGUUUGUAGCUCAGAUUCAAUGGCUCAUCCAUUGCUUCACUACACAAAGCAGUUUAAUGUUUUUAAAUGGUUGUGACUUUUGUUAUCACAAAAGUGGUAAAUCCUAUCCAUGUGAUCAACCUGAACCUCCAUUAUGAAAUGAGAGAGAUCAUUUCAGUCAUGGAAAGGAAGCUUCAGUUAAUGAGCCAGUGUUUGGAGCCAAAGGGCCAUCUCCUUUAAUGAAGCUUAGUCACUUCCAAAUGAUAAAUGGUUUCAUUCCUGAAUAUCAACACAGUGUGUGCCCUGGAGUCAAUAGCCAACUGUCCAUAUUUUGGUUUGAUACAGUAAACAGUAAAGCCCCCUGGUACAAUGUCAAACAGAUGGAAGAGGUUGACUUGCGACUUGUAAAAAUAAAACCUCCUGUUGAGAUAACUAGGACACCAAAGUCAACGAGUGAAAGAAAACAAAUUUUCUGGUGUGGAGAGAAUUGCUAGAAAAACCCAAGCAUACUAUCACUUCAAUAAGUGCAAAGGUUCAGUAAUUUGUUGAAGAACUUUUUAAGAAGCGAAGAACAGAAAAAUAUGAAAUACAAAAUGAAAGCGUCAAGGAUUUUUGGGCAAUCCCCAUUGCAAGAAAAUAUCACAGCUUCAUAUAGGCUUGCCAUUUCCAAGUUAUGUGGAAAUCUAAGUCACAGCUUUUGGGCUUAGAUGGAAUUUUGUAUCGCGGUCAAAAAUAUGACUACUAAAAAAAAGAUACAACAGUGCUGUAUACUUGAAAGAUGAUACACACAGAGAAAUAGGGGUAUCAUUUCUGUACCUAAAGGUACAUUUGUCAGAAAAGUACCCUGUAAGCUAUGGAAAUGGUCCUUAAGGUGAUAACUGUAGGCCUUUGUUUUAUUUUAAAGGUACAAAAUCAUUGCUCACAGAAAAGGGUACAUAAUUGUACUUUUAACAAGCUUAAGCUGGUUCAAACCGGUUAAUCCCCCAUUGUGUUCCCAGACAUGAAAUGGCACAAGACAGUGAAAAUGUUGGUUUUCUUUUUCCUGCUUUGUCAAGCGUGUCCAUGGAUGAACUAAUGAAAAAGAUAAUUGAAGAUGGAAUAUAAAUUUAACAAAGAAGAGACAAGAAAAUUCAGGGGUAAGUAACUGGACCUUAACAUUUCUUUUCAUGCUACUGUUAGCUAGCUAGCUAACUUUAACAAGCCUAACUCAGGAUACUGUAACUUAACAUUAGCUAGCUACAUUUAUGGCCUGUUGCUAGAUAGGCUACAUUUUUAUUAGCUAUUUCAGAAUGAUUUGGUCUUUUAAUCAAAUAACUUUAACUUUGUGACAGAAAACUUAUUUCAGAGUGAUUUUGUUCAUUUUACCAAGUUGCUAACUGCAGUGUAGCAGAAUUGAAAUGCUUCCACUUUCCAUCACCAUUAUCCCCCAUUUUAUUUCAUUUUUUACAAAGUAUUUUUACUGUUUCAUUCAAUAUUCUUUGCAAUUCUCCACUGGGACUUUUUUCCACUGGGUUUUUCUGGAUUUAUUAAUUUUAUGCAUUGGCGCUCCCUCAUGGAGCCCAUGUGGACUUCAGUAGUACAACCCAUUCCAGCCAGCUAAUCUAACAUUUACUUUUUCACUUAGUGCAAAAUGAGUAAAUAUAAAAAUAAGUGAUAUACUGAAUGUCAAUUAUAAUGUUUUCAUCUAUAUUAUACAGUUUUUUGACGAAGUUGACCAAAUCCACUUUUCAACAAGCAGCUUCUGCCAUUGCUUCAGGGAGGACUUCGCAGGUGUUUUGCCAAAUGUGCUGAAACUUCCCGGGGGAAAAUCUCACCUAACAGUACACCGUUGCAAGACAGGAUGCCCUGGCUGAAGCUCUACCAGGAAUUGACUUAAGGGCCAGGCUUAUCCUCUUGACAUCCAUCUUCAGAGAAAAGAUUGAAUACUACAUCACUAUGGGAGAGGUGGGCAGCUGUAUUGUCCAACAGUACUGACUGGUAGACCUCAUGUAUUCAGCUGAGUGGUGAAUGGCCCUGCCCCAUAUUUAAGAGAGGCUGGAGGAGAUGUCUCUCUCCCUGACUAAGCAGCCAACUACUGUUGUUGCGGUUCAUUUUUUCUUUU
Thunnus maccoyii (southern bluefin tuna) is the source of this 4774-nucleotide long non-coding RNA. RefSeq lists it as uncharacterized. The transcript has 3 exons. Lineage: Eukaryota; Metazoa; Chordata; Actinopteri; Scombriformes; Scombridae. The record is from RefSeq and is a predicted model, not a curated record.